GUCAAAUAAGCUUUACAUGCUUUAACUGUGUGAAUUUUUAUUUAAAUUCACACAGUUAAAGCAUGUAAAGCUUAUUUGACGAA
This 83-nucleotide small RNA is filed under the name Mytilus galloprovincialis (Mediterranean mussel). Lineage: Eukaryota; Metazoa; Mollusca; Bivalvia; Mytilida; Mytilidae. The record is from RNAcentral.